CAGUCGCCGCGGUAAUACGAAGGGGGCUAGCGUUGUUCGGAUUUACUGGGCGUAAAGCGCACGUAGGCGGACUUUUAAGUCAGGGGUGAAAUCCCGGGGCUCAACCCCGGAACUGCCUUUGAUACUGGAAGUCUUGAGUAUGGUAGAGGUGAGUGGAAUUCCGAGUGUAGAGGUGAAAUUCGUAGAUAUUCGGAAGAACACCAGUGGCGAAGGCGGCUCACUGGCUCAUACUGGACGCUGAGGUGCGAAAGCGUGGGGAGCAAACAGGAUUAGAUACCCCCGUAGUCCCUGUCUCUUAUAC
RNAcentral lists this ribosomal RNA (301 nucleotides) under uncultured bacterium. Its description in RNAcentral is "partial 16S ribosomal RNA". It matches the Rfam family "Bacterial small subunit ribosomal RNA", at positions 509 to 807 of the family's 1533-position model. The record is from RNAcentral.